GAGACACGGCCCAGACUCCUACGGGAGGCAGCAGUGGGGAAUUUUCCGCAAUGGGCGCAAGCCUGACGGAGCAACGCCGCGUGUGGGAUGAAGGCCUGUGGGUUGUAAACCACUUUUCUCAGGGACGAACACAAUGACGGUACCUGAGGAAUCAGCCUCGGCUAACUCUGUGCCAGCAGCCGCGGUAAGACAGAGGAGGCAAGCGUUAUCCGGAAUUAUUGGGCGUAAAGCGUCCGUAGGUGGUCUAGCAAGUCUGGGGUUAAAGCCCGGAGCCCAACUCCGGAUCGGCCUUGGAAACUGCCAGACUCGAGUAAGGUAGGGGUUGCGGGAAUUCCCGGUGUAGCGGUAAAAUGCGUAGAUAUCGGGAAGAACACCAGCGGCGAAAGCGCGCAACUGGGCCAUUACUGACACUGAGGGACGAAAGCUAGGGGAGCGAAUGGGAUUAGAUACCCCAGUAGUCCUAGCCGUAAACGAUGGUGACUAGAUGUGGCUCGUAUUGACCCGAGCCGUGUCGUAGCUAACGCGAUAAGUCACCCGCCUGGGGAGUACGCACGCAAGUGUGAAACUCAAAGGAAUUGACGGGGGCCCGCACAAGCGGUGGAGCAUGUGGAUUAAUUCGAUGCAACGCGAAGAACCUUACCAGGGCUUGACAUCCUGCGAACCCCGCUGAAAGGUGGGGGUGCCUUCGGGAGCGCAGAGACAGGUGGUGCAUGGCUGUCGUCAGCUCGUGUCGUGAGAUGUUGGGUUAAGUCCCGCAACGAGCGCAACCCGCGUCCUUAGUUGCCAGCAUUUAGUUGGGCACUCUGGGGAGACUGCCGGUGACAAGCCGGAGGAAGGUGCGGAUGACGUCAAGUCAGCAUGCCCCUUACCGCCCUGGGCGUCACACGUGCUACAAUGGCCAGCACAAAGGGUAGCCA
RNAcentral lists this ribosomal RNA (917 nucleotides) under uncultured Cyanophyceae cyanobacterium. RNAcentral's name for it is "bacterial SSU rRNA". It matches the Rfam family "Bacterial small subunit ribosomal RNA", at positions 321 to 1252 of the family's 1533-position model. The record is from RNAcentral. Lineage: Bacteria; Bacillati; Cyanobacteriota; Cyanophyceae.